AACGAACGCUGGCGGCAUGCCUAACACAUGCAAGUCGAACGAGACCUUCGGGUCUAGUGGCGCACGGGUGCGUAACGCGUGGGAACCUGCCCUUAGGUUCGGAAUAACUCCCCGAAAGGGGUGCUAAUACCGGAUAAUGUCUUCGGACCACAGAUUUAUCGCCUUUGGAUGGGCACGCGUUGGAUUAGCUAGUUGGUAGGGUAAAAGCCUACCAAGGCGACGAUCCAUAGCUGGUCUGAGAGGAUGAUCAGCCACACUGGGACUGAGACACGGCCCAGACUCCUACGGGAGGCAGCAGUGGGGAAUAUUGGACAAUGGGCGAAAGCCUGAUCCAGCAAUGCCGCGUGAGUGAUGAAGGCCUUAGGGUUGUAAAGCUCUUUUACCCGGGAUGAUAAUGACAGUACCGGGAGAAUAAGCUCCGGCUAACUCCGUG
Molecule: ribosomal RNA, 433 nt
Filed under: uncultured bacterium
Lineage: Bacteria
Description: partial 16S ribosomal RNA
Rfam family: Bacterial small subunit ribosomal RNA
Source: RNAcentral